Molecule: ribosomal RNA, 627 nt
Filed under: uncultured bacterium
Lineage: Bacteria
Description: bacterial SSU rRNA
Rfam family: Bacterial small subunit ribosomal RNA
Source: RNAcentral
AGCGAAGCAUUUAACAUGAAGUUUUCGGAUGGAAUGUUAUCUGACUGAGCGGCGGACGGGUGAGUAACGCGUGGGUAACCUGCCUUAUACAGGGGGAUAACAGUUAGAAAUGACUGCUAAUACCGCAUAAGCGCACAGUACUGCAUGGUACAGCGUGAAAAACUCCGGUGGUAUAAGAUGGACCCGCGUCUGAUUAGCCAGUUGGCGGGGUAACGGCCCACCAAAGCGACGAUCAGUAGCCGACCUGAGAGGGUGACCGGCCACAUUGGGACUGAGACACGGCCCAAACUCCUACGGGAGGCAGCAGCGGGGAAUAUUGCACAAUGGGGGAAACCCUGAUGCAGCAACGCCGCGUGAGUGAAGAAGUAUUUCGGUAUGUAAAGCUCUAUCACCAGGGAAGAAGAUGACGGUACCUGAUUAAAAAGCCCCGGCUAACUACGUGCCAGCAGCCGCGGUAAUACGUAGGGGGCAAGCGUUAUCCGGAUUUACUGGGUGUAAAGGGAGCGCAGACGGCAGUGCAAGUCUGGAGUGAAAGCCCGGGGCCCAACCCCGGAACUGCUCUGGAAACUGUGCGGCUAGAGUACUGGAGGGGCAGGCGGAAUUCCUAGUGUAGCGGUGAAAUGCGUA